UCAGAUUUAAAUUGUAAGUCGCUCUGGAUAAGAGCGUUUGCUAAAUGACAAAUG
This is a non-coding RNA of Salmo salar (Atlantic salmon), 54 nucleotides long. The record is from Rfam. Lineage: Eukaryota; Metazoa; Chordata; Actinopteri; Salmoniformes; Salmonidae.